GUGUGCUAGUUGGUCGGCUCAGCAGGAGUAGAACCCAGAGCCUCAGUUCCAGGAUGUUGGGGGGGGGGGGGCAAUGCAGAAUCACCGGAGCUCAGUCCCAGCUGCAGACAUUAUCCUUCAGCCUUAAAGACCCUUUAGCUGGUUCGUUGUUUCGAGGUUACGCUCUCUGCCUUCUGCACAACAGACAACUGCAUAAGCGGUCAGGAGGGAGGCAGUGCUUGGAUGUGUCAGCGACGGCCUGGAGCUGCCCUCUGCCAGGAAUGGGGGGAGCACGGUAGCCCUCUGCCAAGGCUCUGGGUCCACUUUAAUAAGUGACGUAUUAAAAUGUUCUCGCUGGAGGCCACCCCGUCAGUCAAGGCAGGAUCCUCUGCCUGGGAAGACAGAGUCGGCUUUUCCGGAGAGCUCCAUUCAGCAAAAGGGAAUAUCAAUCUUUUAAAUAUACUCUAACAUCGGGGUAAACAUUUGUUGGGAAGGCACUUUGGGGACUGGGCAGAUACCGGAUUAUACAAAGGGCCGAAUAUGUUUGAAGUAUCCGCUUAGGUGGCAAUAAAUAUGGAAAAGGCCAUGACGAGUCCAAGGUGGGGGAGGGCCUCCCUGCAUCCAUCCAGCCACCAGGGCUGCAUUGUUCAAACUUCACUAACUGAAUGCUUGCAAAUAAGCAUGCAUCUCCCUGGAUUCUGCUUCUGUGGCCCAUCCAGGUCGACAGUCCGGAGGAAUAUCCAAAAGCACCUCUAAGGGAGAAAUUGGCAAAUUGAGUUUUAAAAGAAAGAGACUCGAAUGUCACUGGAUUAAAGGAUUAAAUAGGAACUCUUACCUCUCCCCUGCUUAGAGCCUGGCGCAUAAUGAAUAGUAACCACCAAUGAAUGUAUAUCAAGUGCCUACUAUGUGCCAGGCAGUAGACUUUUAGAACCUGGAAAACAGAUCUUGUUGUACGAAGCGUCUUUGUAGAAGUACCCAUUGGGGGUACGGAGGGGGCAGUGGAGGCUUCACUGUGGAGUCUGGGAGCAGUUUGGAGGAGUCCGCUUACCUAUUGUCAUCAGCUCCUCAAAACCCCUGAUAAAUUCAAUCCUAAGUAAAUCUCAAUGCUUGUUUUCCAAAGGCCCUGUUCGGAGAAGUCUACCCCUCUAACCAUGUUGCCAGAAGUCUUUCUUCUCCGGAUGGGGACUUGGAUGGGGACUUGCAGGAUCCCACCUGGGACACCACAUUCCAAUUAGUCAUUGGAUCUCCUUGAGCUCCUCUGGGCCAGCAAAAUUUCUCAGACUUCCCUUGUUUUUGAUGGAGGACUGGUAUUUGGUAGACGGUCCCUUGACUGGGGUUUAUCUGAUGAUUUUCUGGUGAUUCAGCUGGGGUUAUGGGUUUUGGGAAGCACGGAGGUAAAUUGUCCCUCAUUACGUCAUAUCAAGAGCACAUGCUAUCAGCAUGACUUACCACUGUUGCCAUUGACCUUGAUCAUUCAACUGAGGUGGCAUUGGUCAGGUGUCUUACCCUCCCGUCUCCUUCCAUACCGUCCUCUUUGGAAGGAAAUCAUCAUGUGUAGCCCACUUAAGGUGUGGGGAAUUACUCUGUUGGGAGAAUAUCUCCAUAAAUUACUUGGGAUUCUUCUGCUCAGGUCAUGUGAAUGACCCACUUUUUGGCCAUUCAACUCUGCCCUGUGUUGGGCAAGCCUACUGUGGUUUAGAUGUAAUCAUGAAUUCCAGCAAA
Long non-coding RNA from Mustela erminea (ermine), 1701 nucleotides. RefSeq lists it as uncharacterized. The record is from RefSeq and is a predicted model, not a curated record. The transcript is spliced from 2 exons. Lineage: Eukaryota; Metazoa; Chordata; Mammalia; Carnivora; Mustelidae.